Molecule: long non-coding RNA, 1449 nt
Filed under: Homo sapiens (human)
Lineage: Eukaryota; Metazoa; Chordata; Mammalia; Primates; Hominidae
Description: HSALNT0271939
Source: RNAcentral
AACCCACCAAUUCCGGACACAUCAUCAUCUAACUAAAUUCAAGUGAGAAUGAGGCUCUUUGAUUAUGGUUCUGGCAAUGCAGACACCCUCCUCCAAAUUCUGUGUCUUACAGUCUGGAGCACUACGAACUACAAAGAAAAGUGCCUCUGUAAGAUAAGACAAGAAGACAACACAGAAGAGGAGAGUCCUUCUCAAGGUGCUGCUCACUCCUCAGUCCUUUAAUCCAGAAUUUUCUCAUUCAAAACACCCAAUUCUGGAAGCCAGGAAGUUCAAGAUCAAGAUGCCAAAACGUUUGAUUUCUGGUGAAGGCUCACUUCCUGAUUUGUAGACAACUGUCUUCUCACUGUAUUCUCACAUGGCAUAGAAAGCUGAGAGCUCUGGUCUCUUCCUGUUUUCAGAAGGACUCUAAUUUCAUCACAGCAGCUUUAUCCUCAUGGCUUUAUCUAUGCCUAAUAACCUCCAAAAACCCCUCCUGCAAAUACCAACACAUCAAGGGUUAGGACUUCAACAUACACAUGUUGACCAGAGAAACAAACAUUUAGCCUAUAACAAUGAUUUGGAUUUAUUUAUGGAGAAGGAAGCUAUAGAAGAAUAACUAAAAUGCAUAAAGGCAAAUUGAAUGUUCAAAGGGUAAGCAUGGGUCUGAUUGUUAAUAUCACUAUUAGCUCAGCUACAAAUGAGCAUCUGGAGCAAUAGCAUCUCUCUAGGUUUGAAGAGGUGAGCGGCGGUGCCUCAGCGAUCUCCUCUGCAGCAUAGGAAAUGAUGGCUGUUUCUUUCCGCUGGAAGCAUGGCCACGAAAGCCCUCCUCUGAAAGUGCUCUUGCUGUACUGACUUUGCUUGUCAACAAUGUGGCACUCCUCACUUAACAGACACUCCCUACAUCAGUAUUGGGUGUCCUCUGAAGGAAAACUGAAUCUUCCCCACCUCACUUUCCUCUUUAUGCCAUAACUGAGUUCCGGAAUGUGAAAGCCUACACUGCUGGAUCUGCUGUGUGGACUUGACCCUGACCAGGGAGCUCCAAAAACCGGUGAUGAUAACAUGAUGUAAUUGAGAGUGAAAGGAAGGCAACUGAGAGGAUAAGAGAACGUAAACAAGAGAGCUGAAACCUGCAGCAUGCAAUACUGAGAGGUGAAGGCAGCUGGACUUCCUGGGUGAGUGGGGACUUGGAGAACUUUUCUGUCUAGCUAAAGGUUUGUAAACGCACCAAUCAGCAAUCUGUAAAAAUGCAUCCAUCUGCGCUCUGUGUCUAGCUAAAGGUUUGUAAACGCUCCAAUCAGCACUCUGUAAAAACUGACCAAUCAGCGAUCUGUAAAACGGACCAGUCAGUGCUCUGUAAAAUGGACCAAUCAGCAGGACGUGGGCAGGGCCAAAUAAGGGAAUAAACGCUGGCCACCCGAGCCCACGGAGGCAACCCACUUGGGUGCUACUCCACGCUGUGGAAGUUUUGUU